RNAcentral lists this long non-coding RNA (5592 nucleotides) under Daucus carota (carrot). RNAcentral's name for it is "long non-coding RNA (DCAR_LNC005617)". The record is from RNAcentral. Lineage: Eukaryota; Viridiplantae; Streptophyta; Magnoliopsida; Apiales; Apiaceae.
AUGAAGAUUCAAGUUUGUUCGAUAUUUACAAUCCUUCUUUUAUUUUUGACCAUUUCAUCUGCAGCUGAUCCCAAUUAUACUUCUGGCCAAGACUUUGUUCAAUGUCUUAUCCGAUCGAGUUCAACCUCCAUAUCCAAAGUUAUUUACACCUCACAAAACUCUACUUACACCUCUGUCUUGAAGUUCUCCAUCAACAACCUCCGCUUUGAUACUCCGACGACUCCUAAACCUAUUGUUAUUGUCAAACCUGUGGACGAGUCGCAAAUUCAAACUGUCAUUUACUGUUGCAAGAAACAUGACAUUCAAAUGAGGAUUCGAGGCGGAGGACAUGACUACGAAGGUCUCUCGUAUGUAGCCCAAGUCCCGUUUGUGUUACUUGAUAUGAUUAAUCUCCGUUCUAUCAGUGUUGACCCUGUAAAGGCAACGGCAUGGGUUGGAGCUGGUGCAACGCUUGGAGAGCUGUAUUAUCAUAUUGGUCAGAAGAGCGAUACCCUUGGAUUUCCUGCCGGAAUAUGGUCCACAGUAGGUGUAAGCGGACUCGUCAGUGGUGGGGGAUAUGGUACAUUGAGACGCAAGUAUGGCCUCGCUGCUGAUAACGUGCUCGAUGCACGCUUGAUUGAUGCCAACGGCAGAAUUCUUGAUAGAAAAUCAAUGGGAGAAGAUUUGUUUUGGGCCAUCAGAGGAGGUGGCGCUUCUAGUUUCGGUGUCAUUCUUUCCUGGAAACUGAAGCUGGUUUCUGUUCCAAAAAUUGUCACCGUCUUCCAAGUUGAAAGAACUUUAGAGCAGAAUGCAACUGAAGUGCUUCACCGUUGGCAAACCGUAGCCCCGAGGCUUCCCAAAGAUGUUGAAAUGCGAGUUGCAGCCAACCCAGUCUGGAAGAAUUUGCCUAAUGAACCGCAGAAAACUGUACAGGACGAUGGUUCUGGAAGUUUGGAAGAUAGUAAAACCGUGAGCGUGAAUUUUAUAGGACAGUUUCUUGGACCAAAAGAAAGACUACUUUCAAUGAUGAACAAAAGGUUCCCCGAGUUAGGAUUGGUGGCAGAAGCAUGCACUGAAGUUACCUAUAUUCAAUCCAUACUCUUGUUUUCUCUUUUCUCAGCCGAUGAUUCUCCUGCUGGUCUGUUGAACCGAACAGCCUAUAAAAUUCCUUUUAAAGCCAAAUCAGACUUCGUGGACAAGCCCAUAUCAAGGGAAGGGCUUGAGGGGUUGUGGAAAAUCCUUCUCCAGCAAGAGCCUGGAAGAACGAAUUUUCUCUUCACAUCGUAUGGUGGAAAGAUGGCCGAAAUAUCAGAAUCUGCAAUUCCAUUCCCUCACAGAGCAGGAACCCUGUACAUGAUGUACAUGAGAGUGCGGACUGAUGGAGACACAUCCGAUUCCAUGAAGUGGAUCAGAGGCUUGUACAAGUACUUGACUCCUUACGUUACCAGCUCUCCCAGAGCUGCAUACGUAAAUUACAAUGAUCUAGACUUGGGAGUGAACAAUCUUCAAGGCACUACCAGCUACAAGCAGGCAAGUAAAUGGGGCAAGAAAUACUUCAAGAAUAACUUUGAUCGGCUGGUUAUAAUCAAGUCAGUUGUUGAUCCUGAUAAUUUCUUCAGGCAUGAACAGAGUAUUCCUCCAUUCUCUUAAUUUCGUAGUCAUUCUUUGUCUUUGUCGGUAGCUCUUAGUUUCAUAGGAUGUAAUUGUAUUUAAUUCUUUUAAUAUGAAAAACCAUUAUUUUAUUUUUUAAGAAUCGAUUUUGGAAAUUUGAAAUGUUCGGGUAUCGAUCUCCUCCGACUGUUUAGUGUAAACUCUGUUAUAUAUAUAGUACUGGCAUGUAUGUGUAUUAAUGUGUAAUGUAUCGAAUCGUGGCUGAAUAUAUGUUGUUACUACUCCGUGCGUUUAAGUUUGCCGACUUAUUUAGGCAUGAACAGAGUAUUCCUCCUAAGAUUAGUACUUGUGCUCUAGCCUGCAGGUGCGGAAUGGAAUUUGAUGGGCUAGGUGAAAUAGACCGUAAAAUAUUCACAACUCAAUAUUUAUGUAUAAAAUAAACGUUUUACAAAAUAGUAUAAUAAUAUAAACAGAAAAUUAAAACUAAGGAGUUCUAAAAAUAACAGAGAGACCUUGCGAAAAAGCUCCUAAGCAGAAGCACUAAAUUAAUAAAACUAAACAAUGUCUAGUCAAGAUAGAAAAGUGACCCCACUCCUGACGAAAAACUCAUACAAAAAGUAUAGUAUACAGUUGCCUGAAACAAAUGUAAUCAAUUUCUGGUUUUAAUUUUAAAAAAAAUAUAUACUCACAUUAUUUAAGUUGAACGUGUUGACAUUUUUGUGGAUAAAAAAAUAUAUACUCACAUUAUUUAAGUUGAACGUGUUGACUUUUUUGUGGAUAGAAUUGGUCAAUUACUCCCUCAGGAUCAAUCUCUUCAGCAUAUUCUUUUUCAUUAAUGUUAAGAAUCAUAGUUUCUCUCAAAUAAUCAUCUUUCAUUUUAUUUCGAGGAAAUGGUCUUAAUUAGUUUGAUAACUCAAAAUGCUCACUUUGUGAUAGUUGUAGAAAUCGGAGGAGUCAAAACAAGACAGAUCAACUGAUAGAUCAUACUAAAAUGUUUCACCUUACAAUUGUUUCAACUAGAUGUACACAUAAUUAAGUGAGAGUCGAUAAAUUCUAAAACUUCUCAUCCCUAAUAACAACAACUUUAUACAACUCAAGUUGUAGCCGUAAGUGGUACAACUCUUGCUCAUCAAAAUCAGAAGUAUAAAAUUUGUUAACCGUAAAUGAAAGUCUUGCAGUAACCAAUAGGUUCUCAUCAAAACCAAACACACGUCAUACCGUUUUAAUCGGUUAUUAAAAUUUUCAUAUCUUGUGUAAAACAUUAUGUAAAUUACUAAAAAUAUUAGAAGUCAAAGAUGCAAAACAAGUAAAAAUUGAAGAGAUUAAGAAAUGAAAAUUAUAUUUUAAAAUAUGAAUUCCACGUGAAAAUACGGAGUGAAAAGGAGCAACGGAGGCAUGGAAUUGAAUAGAAUUGUUGCUAUGGUUUCGCUUUUACAAAAAGCGACUAUGUUUUAAUGUUAUAACUAAGAAGUUGUUGUCUUGUCUGGUCUAAUUACGUAAGCACGAAAAGGGGCUGGAUUUUGAUAUUAGACAGGGCUAAUAGAUCACACUCCUGGUUCUUAAAAAAUUAAUAGGAUAUAAUCGGUUAGGGGGCCUUGUAGAGUAAAUCUGUGAUGUUUAGAUUAACUAAAAUCCCUUAUUUGAUAUAUACACCAGCAAACCAAAAACCACGCUGUCAAAAGUUUGAAAAUUACUCAAACUUUUAACAUAUCACCAACAAUCUUGAUUCAUCUCACCAAACAUAAAAUUUCAUCAAGUUCCAUAUCUUCCUCUUCAUUAAAAUCAUCUUCAUCAAGUUCUCGAAAUGUCUCAUCACGUGUAUAUAUUGAACCUUGAGACUCAUCAUUAUCUCCACCCCAUAUAAUCCAUUCUUUAGCCAUUCGAGCAUCAUUUGCAAGUAAAGGAUCACACCUGUCCUUUCAUUUUUUAUUUUUCAGAUAAAGAUAUUGGUCAUUUGAAUUGAUCAAUUGGACCAAGUUUGCAGGGUUGCUUGCUGACACCAUCAAUCUCUACACAAUCAUCAACCACUUUACUGUUUUCAGUGAUAUUAACCUCUGCCCGGCUUUCUUUGAGGCCCUUUCUUUUGUUUUCUUUCAUAUUUUUUACUUCCUCUAAUGCUCGUUUACACUUCACUUGAUCGAUUGGAGUAGAUCUGUAACAAGAUAUGACAUUACCUUUGAUUCCGGCUAUAUGUUGCUUUAAGCGAAAAACACCUUCACUAAGCACUACAUUUCACCCUUUGUGAUUUACCAGGAUCCACCAAAUCACCAUAUUCCCAUCCCCGUGUUAUCAAAUUUACUUGUUAAUGUUUCAUCCGAAGAACAAGGAGGUGCAGAAUUUGCCAUUCUGUUGAAAAUCAAAACAUAAAGCAUAUAUUCUGAGAAAAUUUACGUAGCCUGCAUCUACAUGUAUUAAGAUACUAAAUUAUUUCAACCAAAUGCCUAAAGUUAUAUAUUAUACAACAAGGCAUAAGCUGUGAACAUGUAUCUAAAUGACCAGGAACGAUUUCUAGCUAAGUCGUAAUAUAAGAAUUCUCCAUCUAGAUCUAAGCAUUAAUUUGAAAAACCCACAUCCUACUACCAAUUAAAUUGAAAGGGCUCCCACUCGAGUGAGUAAAUACAGCUACACCCAAAUAACUUGCGAGUACUAUCAAAAGAACAAAGUUAAUAAAAUCAUCACCGAAAGGAUCAUCACAAUCUCAAGGUUUUGAUAUGAAUAUGAUACACAACUCAACAAGAUAUCAUAAAAUUUGAAAAAAAAAAGGUAAUGAAAGAUUUGGUUUAGGUGUUAACAAGUACCUCUAUUCAACUAUUGGAUCUUGAUUCUUGAUCUUGUAUAGUAGAUGUUAAGGUUUUGCUCUCUGCUCGCUUUCUCUCUGAUGCACGAUGUUUUUACCCAUUUCAAGUUUUGAGUCUGUGCUGCGAGAAAAGACACCAAUUUCACUUUAUGCCACGUAACCUGCUUUGGUCUGUGUUUUUUGUAGUGUUUGACCCGAUUUCAGAUAUCUACCUUUAAUGGACCUGUUAACGUAAAUAACAUAGUUAUGCAACCUUACACCGAUUAGACGACCUGUUAAAGGGCUAAACGGCCGUUUUUAACAACAUUGACGUCGACUUGAUAAGAUAAUAUAUAUUAUCUUAAAUUAUAAUAUCAUGAUUGUUUUUAAAUAUAAUUGACAAUAUGUUUUAAAAACAAUAAAUAAAUAUAAAUAUUUAAAAACGACUUGAUAUAAUAAUAUAUAUUAUCUUAUUAUUAAUUAAAUAAUAUUUAUAUCUUGAUAGAAAAAAAGUGAUAUUAAAUAAAAUUUCGGAGAUGCGCUCAUUACACCUGCAUUACAACCGAUAGCAUUUAUGAAUCUAAAAUAAGACGUCAAGCUGUUGAAAGAUUAAACUGAUCUACUACUAUUAUUUAGAAUUCUGACUUGGACUUUGUAUAUGUAAUGAUAUCAACUCAACCAUAAAUGGACCAUUUCUAUAUUAAUAAGCCUGAGACACGCUUACUUUUUUGGUUGUAAAGGAACCACUUGCCAUUCACUAUAAAUACCUCUCAUACUACACCAUCUAAUGCACACAAACUCAAACUUUAGAUAAGGAAGAAAGAAAAGUAACCAAGAUUACAGAAAUGAAGAUUCAAGUUUGUUCGAUAUUUACAAUCCUUCUUUUAUUUUUGACCAUUUCAUCUGCAGCUGAUCCCAAUUAUACUUCUGGCCAAGACUUUGUUCAAUGUCUUAUCCGAUCGAGUUCAACCUCCAUAUCCAAAGUUAUUUACACCUCACAAAACUCUACUUACACCUCUGUCUUGAAGUUCUCCAUCAACAACCUCCGCUUUGAUACUCCGACGACUCCUAAACCUAUUGUUAUUGUCAAACCUGUGGACGAGUCGCAAAUUCAAACUGUCAUUUACUGUUGCAAGAAACAUGACAUUCAAAUGAGGAUUCGAGGCGGAGGACAUGACUACGAAGGUCUCUCGUAUGUAGCCCAAGUCCCGUUUGUGUUACUUGAU